ACGGAGGGUGCAAGCGUUAUCCGGAUUCACUGGGUUUAAAGGGAGCGUAGGUGGGCUGGUAAGUCAGUGGUGAAAUCUCCGGGCUUAACUCGGAAACUGCCGUUGAUACUAUCAGUCUUGAAUAUUGUGGAGGUAAGCGGAAUAUGUCAUGUAGCGGUGAAAUGCUUAGAUAUGACACAGAACACCAAUUGCGAAGGCAGCUUGCUACACAGUUAUUGACGCUGAGGCACGAAAGCGUGGGGAUCAAACAGGA
RNAcentral lists this ribosomal RNA (253 nucleotides) under uncultured prokaryote. RNAcentral describes it as "partial 16S ribosomal RNA". It matches the Rfam family "Bacterial small subunit ribosomal RNA", at positions 525 to 777 of the family's 1533-position model. The record is from RNAcentral.